UGAGCAAUCUGCCCUUCUCAUCGGAAUAAGCGUUGGAAACGACGUCUAAUGCCGAAUACGACCUCCUUUCGCAUGAUCGGAGGUGGAAAGCUCCGGCGGAGAAGGAUGAGCUCGCGGCCUAUCAGCUAGUUGGUGUGGGUAAUGGCCCACCAAGGCGACGACGGGUAGCCGGCCUGAGAGGGUGACCCGGCCACACGUGGGACUGAGACACCGGCCCAGACUCCGUACGGGAGCAG
This 236-nucleotide ribosomal RNA is filed under the name uncultured bacterium. RNAcentral describes it as "partial 16S ribosomal RNA". It matches the Rfam family "Bacterial small subunit ribosomal RNA", at positions 118 to 347 of the family's 1533-position model. The record is from RNAcentral.